RNAcentral lists this ribosomal RNA (469 nucleotides) under uncultured bacterium. Its description in RNAcentral is "partial 16S ribosomal RNA". It matches the Rfam family "Bacterial small subunit ribosomal RNA", at positions 27 to 507 of the family's 1533-position model. The record is from RNAcentral.
GGACGAACGCUGGCGGCGUGCUUAACCCAUGCAAGUCGAACGGAAAGGCCCUGCUUUUGUGGGGUGCUCGAGUGGCGAACGGGUGAGUAACACGUGAGUAACCUGCCCUUGACUUUGGGAUAACUUCAGGAAACUGGGGCUAAUACCGGAUAGGAGCUCCUGCUGCAUGGUGGGGGUUGGAAAGUUUCGGCGGUUGGGGAUGGACUCGCGGCUUAUCAGCUUGUUGGUGGGGUAGUGGCUUACCAAGGCUUUGACGGGUAGCCGGCCUGAGAGGGUGACCGGCCACAUUGGGACUGAGAUACGGCCCAGACUCCUACGGGAGGCAGCAGUGGGGAAUAUUGCACAAUGGGCGGAAGCCUGAUGCAGCAACGCCGCGUGCGGGAUGACGGCCUUCGGGUUGUAAACCGCUUUCGCCUGUGACGAAGCGUGAGUGACGGUAAUGGGUAAAGAAGCACCGGCUAACUGCGUG